This 661-nucleotide ribosomal RNA is filed under the name uncultured bacterium. RNAcentral describes it as "bacterial SSU rRNA". It matches the Rfam family "Bacterial small subunit ribosomal RNA", at positions 8 to 662 of the family's 1533-position model. The record is from RNAcentral.
AGAGUUUGAUCAUGGCUCAGAUUGAACGCUGGCGGCAUGCUUAAUACAUGCAAGUCGAACGGUAACAGGUCCUUCGGGAUGCUGACGAGUGGCGGACGGGUGAGUAAUGCAUAGGAAUCUGCCCAGUAGUAGGGGACAACCUGAGGAAACUCAGGCUAAUACCGUAUAAAUCCUACGGGAGAAAGGGGGCCUCUUCUUGAAAGCUCUCGCUAUUGGAUGAGCCUAUGUCGGAUUAGCUUGUUGGUGGGGUAACGGCCUACCAAGGCGACGAUCCGUAGCUGGUCCGAGAGGACGAUCAGCCACACUGGGACUGAGACACGGCCCAGACUCCUACGGGAGGCAGCAGUAGGGAAUAUUGGACAAUGGGCGAAAGCCUGAUCCAGCAAUGCCGCGUGUGUGAAGAAGGCCUGCGGGUUGUAAAGCACUUUCAGUUGGGAAGAAAAUCUUUAGGUUAAUAUCCUAAAGUCUUGACGUUACCAACAGAAGAAGCACCGGCUAACUCUGUGCCAGCAGCCGCGGUAAUACAGAGGGUGCGAGCGUUAAUCGGAAUUACUGGGCGUAAAGCGUGCGUAGGCGGUUAAGUCAGUCGGAUGUGAAAGCCCAAGGCAUAACCUUGGAACGGCAUUCGAUACUGCUUAGCUAGAGUACAGUAGAGGGAAGC